GCGGGCGUAGCAAUACGUCAGCGGCAGACGGGUGAGUAACGCGUGGGAACGUACCUUUUGGUUCGGAACAACACAGGGAAACUUGUGCUAAUACCGGAUAAGCCCUUACGGGGAAAGAUUUAUCGCCGAAAGAUCGGCCCGCGUCUGAUUAGCUAGUUGGUAGGGUAACGGCCUACCAAGGCGACGAUCAGUAGCUGGUCUGAGAGGAUGAUCAGCCACAUUGGGACUGAGACACGGCCCAAACUCCUACGGGAGGCAGCAGUGGGGAAUAUUGGACAAUGGGGGCAACCCUGAUCCAGCCAUGCCGCGUGAGUGAUGAAGGCCCUAGGGUUGUAAAGCUCUUUUGUGCGGGAAGAUAAUGACGGUACCGCAAGAAUAAGCCCCGGCUAACUUCGUGCCAGCAGCCGCGGUAAUACGAAGGGGGCUAGCGUUGCUCGGAAUCACUGGGCGUAAAGGGUGCGUAGGCGGGUCUUUAAGUCAGGGGUGAAAUCCUGGAGCUCAACUCCAGAACUGCCUUUGAUACUGAAGAUCUUGAGUUCGGGAGAGGUGAGUGGAACUGCGAGUGUAGAGGUGAAAUUCGUAGAUAUUCGCAAGAACACCAGUGGCGAAGGCGGCU
RNAcentral lists this ribosomal RNA (616 nucleotides) under Bradyrhizobium japonicum. RNAcentral describes it as "bacterial SSU rRNA". It matches the Rfam family "Bacterial small subunit ribosomal RNA", at positions 66 to 726 of the family's 1533-position model. Lineage: Bacteria; Pseudomonadati; Pseudomonadota; Alphaproteobacteria; Hyphomicrobiales; Nitrobacteraceae. The record is from RNAcentral.